RNAcentral lists this ribosomal RNA (1029 nucleotides) under Mucor falcatus. RNAcentral describes it as "LSU rRNA". It matches the Rfam family "Eukaryotic large subunit ribosomal RNA", at positions 38 to 964 of the family's 3401-position model. The record is from RNAcentral. Lineage: Eukaryota; Fungi; Mucoromycota; Mucoromycetes; Mucorales; Mucoraceae.
GCAUAUCAAUAAGCGGAGGAAAAGAAAAAUAACAAUGAUUUCCCCCAGUAACGGCGAGUGAAGAGGAAAGAGCUCAAAAGUUUGGAACCUGUUUGGCUUAGCUAAACCGGAUUGUAAACUGUAGAAACGUUUUCCUGACACGCCAGAUUAAUAAGUCCUUUGGAACAGGGCAUCAUAGAGGGUGAGAAUCCCGUCUUUGGUCUGAGCUGUUGUCUUUUGUGAUACGUUUUCAAAGAGUCAGGUUGUUUGGGAAUGCAGCCUAAAUUGGGUGGUAAAUCUCACCUAAAGCUAAAUAUUUGCGAGAGACCGAUAGCGAACAAGUACCGUGAGGGAAAGAUGAAAAGAACUUUGAAAAGAGAGUUAAACAGUAUGUGAAAUUACUAAAAGGGAACCGUUUGGAGCCAGACUGGCUUGAUCGUAAUCAAUCUAGGUUUCGACCUGGGUGCAAUUGCGGUCUAUGCCUGCCAACGACAGUUCUUUCUGAAGGAUAAAACUAAGAGGAAUGUGGCCCUUCGGGGUGUUAUAGCCUUUUAGAUAAUACUUUGGAUGGGACUGAGGAACGCAGUGAAUGCUAUUAUGGCGAGAUUUCAAUGCGCUUUUCUCCUUCAGAUAUAUGAAUUUCUGCUUCGGGUGGUGCAUAUGUCUAAGGAGAGAACUCGUGUUGUUAUUCUUCUAUUCACUUAGGUUGUUGGCUUAAUGACUCUAAAUGACCCGUCUUGAAACACGGACCAAGGAGUCCACCAUUAGUGCAAGUAUUUGGGUGCCAAACCCAUAUGCGUAAGGAAACUGAUUGAUACGAAUCCGCAAGGAGGCAGUAUCACCCGGCGCUGACGUUUUAUACUGAAUUGACCGAGGUUAAGCACUAAUGAUGGGACCCGAAAGAUGGUGAACUAUGCCUGAAUAGGGUGAAGCCGGAGGAAACUCCGGUGGAGGCUCGUAGCGAAUUCUGACGUGCAAAUCGAUCGUCAAAUUUGGGGUAUAGGGGGCGAAAGACUAAUCGAAACCAUCUAGUAGCUGGUUUCCUGCCGA